Non-coding RNA from Arachis ipaensis, 3398 nucleotides. NCBI's taxonomy places the organism in Eukaryota, Viridiplantae, Streptophyta, Magnoliopsida, Fabales, Fabaceae. The record is from RefSeq and is a predicted model, not a curated record.
CCUUCUAUUAUCUCCCCUUUAUUUCACGCACUCAUUUCCUCUUUCGCAAUUUCGAGAAACUCUAGCUCCCUUAUUCCCUUUAUUCCCUCCUCGAUAGGUUACUCUCUUCGUCUGGUCUAAAUCUUCUGUCUCUGAGUCCUGUGCGUUCUUGUUCUUUAAAUUACAGGUCUCUGUGGGUCGUUUGCAAUUUGCCUGUCUCUGAGUAUCUCAAUGUGAAGGGCUGUCGUGGUGAUAGGUUAGGGUUUCCAGAUAUGAGAUUCGAUUUCUGGGAGUGGAUUGUGAGAGAAAAGAACGGAUGUCUAGUUCUCUGAGUGUGGUGGUCUCUCUCGUUGUUUCUAAGAAACCUUAUGUUCUCAACUCCGUGUUCGACAAUCUGCUGAUGUCGCAAAAGUCACAAAUUGGAAAAGGCGAUUUGAACAAAACCAAUCCGAGCUUGCUGGGAAUAAAAAAGGAAUGGUGGUCUUCAAAGGCUACGGAAAAACUAGAAAGUGAAAAGGUAUCAAAGACCCUAAUAAACCAAAGAGGUAAUUUAGUGCUUUCUUCUUUUUAGGGUAGGUAUGCAAGGCUUUUCGAUUCAUUUAAUUUAAGUGUUUUUGGAUUUGUUAUUUUUGAGUUUCAUAUUACAUUUUCGAUCUCAGAAGGAAGAGUCUUUGUUAUUUUUGUUCAGAUUUUCAGUUGGCGAUCAAGGAUAGUUUACUUUCCGAUUUUCACAACUGCAGGUGUGGGCGAAAAAAUAAUUGAAAUGGAAAAGCCUAAAUUGGAACCGUCCAAAUUGGCAUUAGGGAAGGAGAAACUGUUGACAGCACAAAAGGCACUAGAAGAAGGUACUCUUUAUCAUGUAUUUUUGGACCUUACAUUAUGUGCAGAAAAAAAAAAAAAGAUAAUGGUGUCACAUGAUAGUUUUAUAUUACCAUAGUUAAGUUGAGUGCUAACUUUUAACUGUCAACAGUUCGAGCCCAUAAGAAGACAAAUAUGGUGUACUAGACUUCACUGAAAAGAAAAUUUCUAAGGUUACAAUGAUACCCACUAGCCAUGGAGAAGUAUGUCUUUUCUUUUUAAUCUGUCUGAGAAUCUUCCAUCACAGGGAUAACUGUUCUAUUUAUGUAUGAGUAACCCAGUGAUGCCAUUGUUGCUGUAGUGCAGACAUUCAAUAUACUAAGGUAUGAGGUUCUUCAGAAAUAUGAUACUCAUUAUGAUGUCUUCGACCCGUUUGAAUAUGGAAAUAUUCAAAAUGAAAGGGAAAGCAUGCUUAAAUACUACGGCACCUCAAGCAUCGACGAUUGUGAUGAACUCAUACUAGACUCAUAUUUAGCAUCUGAAGCCAAUGAAAAUGAGUACAUUACUUCAUCCCGAAAAAUGCAACCAUACCUUUAUAUGCAUGUAUAUCUUGGUUUCAUUCCUGAGUGGCCGGCAUAUUCUUUUUCUUUUCAGACCUAUUGUAGUUGGACCAGAAAAAGUAGCCUUAGUUGCUUCCCUCAGGUCAAGAAUUCCUAUUCAGUAGCUCACUGUUGACCAAAGCACUCACUACAAAAAAAAGGCCUAUGGUCACGGUACCAUGACCAUAACUAGUGAAAAGGGUGACCAUAGGUCUAUGGUCACGAUUUUUGACCUAUGGUCACGGUUUUUUCACCGUGGCCUAUUAUGUCGUGGCCAUAGAUCUAUGGUCACGGUUUUUUUUAUCUAUAAUCACGGUUUCUAUGGUCACGGUUUUAGUGUUCAAAUUCUGGUACUUUAGGCCACAUUUUUUUUACCGUGACCAUAUGUUAAUCUAUGGUCACGUGUAAAAACUGUGACCAUAGCCUAAUCUAUGGUCACGAGUUUUCACCAUGACUAUAGCAUCUAUGGUCACCCCGCUUAAAAUCGUGACCAUAACCUUAACCGUGACCAUAACCUCUAUGGCCACUCCUCCCCAAAACCGUGACCAUAGCCAUAUCUAUGGUCACGGUCAAAACCGUGACCAGAACCUCUAUGGUCACUCCUCCCGAAAACCGUGACUAUAGCCUUAUCUAUGGUCACAGUUUUGGCUGUGACCAUAGCCUCUAUGGUCACCCCACCUAAAAUCGUGACCAUAGCUUCUAUAGUCACCCCUCAUUAUACCGUGACCAUAGCCUUAUCUAUGUUCACGGUUUUCACCGUGGCUAUAGCUUAUCUAUGGUCACCCCUCCUUAAAACUGUGACCAUAGCCUUGUCUAUGGACACGAUUUUUCGCCUUGAUCAUAGGUUUAUUUAUAGUCACGGUUUUCACCGUGGCCAUAGCUUAUCUAUGGUCACAGUUUUUACCGUGACCAUAGCCUGUUUUAUUUUAUGAGAUUUUUUUUAAAGCAUAAUCACAUCCCAAAAUGAUGAUAAUCACAAAAUAAAUCUAAGAAUGAGAGAUUCAAUAAAUGUAAAACAAAAAAGUUUCAUUAAAAACUAGAUAUCCAUUACAACACUAAUCAAAAUAGGGUGUAAUUUAUCCAUUACAUGUAAUAUCAGAUAAAGUCUCUUAUCAAAAAGUAAAGAACACAUCAAAAUAAUAAAUUUAGAUAACCAAAAUCAUUAUAAGACCCAUCCCAUCUUAUAUUUGUAUAGAACAUAUUUUCUUCACAUCAUGUCCUCCUGCUAGCAAAAGAAAUAAACAUGUUAGAACAAAACAAAAAUGUUUUUGAUGAUGCAUGCAGUACAGUUGAGUAAUGAAUAUGGAACACAAGUUUAAUAAGUCAACCAACGUGAAAAUUUCAACCACUAAAUAACAGGAGCAUUUGCUAGGGUUUUGAGCCACAUAAAAAGGACAUACUAAGUAUAAUAAGAACUAGCAACCUUCUGCUAACAAGCUAGAUUCUAUUGUAGAUUCGCUUAAGGCCAAUAAAUCAACAAUAAAUUUAACAUCAACAGCAAUCAGCCACUAUUAAUUUAACUACUAAUUUUAAAAGUACUUACUUCCAUAUCUUUUGACACAUGGUUCGAUCCCAAUGAAGGAGGAAUGCUUCGCCGCGCAUCAUUUGGUGCACUACUUGCGUCAGGCAGAGAUUGUUGGGCAGCUUCUAUCAUUACUUGCACUUGUUCUGCACUCAUACCAGGAUUAACUUGUUGCAACAACGUUUUGAUCAAAUUUGUUAAACCAUCCAACUUGAAAGUUAAGUUAUUUUGAUUUUUCUCCAUAGUUGAAACCACUUCAGUAUGUUGUUGUUGCAUUUGUUGGAUUUGGUUAUCCUUUUUAAGAGAGAAUUUUGUGACUAAUCGACCAUAGAAACGAACCCUACCAUAUCUCUCCUUUCCAAAAACCGUUUGAAGUGUUUCAUCAUCACUGUAUCCAGCUUACUUCAAAUUUUGAAGAUGAUCCUAUUACACACAAGUAAAAUUGAAAUAAGUUCAUGUGCGCAUAUGCUGAAAAAAAAAAGAUUUACAUAUUUUUUUUA